UACAGAGGUCCCAAGCGUUGUUCGGAUUCACUGGGCGUAAAGGGUGCGCAGGUGGGUUUGCAAGUUCGAUGUGAAAGCCCCGGGCUUAACCCGGGAAUGGCAUUGGAUACUGCAGAUCUGGAGGAUCGGAGGGGGGACUGGAAUUCUUGGUGUAGCAGUGAAAUGCGUAGAUAUCAAGAGGAACACCAGUGGCGAAGGCGAGUCCCUGACGAUACCUGACACUGAGGCACGAAAGCGUGGGGAGCGAACAGG
RNAcentral lists this ribosomal RNA (252 nucleotides) under uncultured bacterium. RNAcentral's name for it is "partial 16S ribosomal RNA". It matches the Rfam family "Bacterial small subunit ribosomal RNA", at positions 524 to 776 of the family's 1533-position model. The record is from RNAcentral.